RNAcentral lists this ribosomal RNA (253 nucleotides) under uncultured bacterium. RNAcentral describes it as "partial 16S ribosomal RNA". It matches the Rfam family "Bacterial small subunit ribosomal RNA", at positions 524 to 776 of the family's 1533-position model. The record is from RNAcentral.
GACGAACCGUGCGAACGUUAUUCGGAAUCACUGGGCUUAAAGGGAGCGUAGGCGGGCUAUCAAGUCUGGGGUGAAAUCCCACGGCUCAACCGUGGAACUGCCUCAGAUACUGAUGGCCUCGAGGGAGAUAGGGGCAUGCGGAACUGUAGGUGGAGCGGUGAAAUGCGUUGAUAUCUACAGGAACUCCGGUGGCGAAAGCGGCGUGCUGGAUCUCUUCUGACGCUGAGACACGAAGGCCAGGGAGGCAAACGGG